This 334-nucleotide unclassified non-coding RNA is filed under the name soil metagenome. RNAcentral describes it as "partial contains 5.8S ribosomal RNA, internal transcribed spacer 2, and large subunit ribosomal RNA". The stretch from base 1 to 120 matches the Rfam family "5.8S ribosomal RNA", at positions 35 to 154 of the family's 154-position model. The record is from RNAcentral.
GAUGAAGAACGUAGCGAAAUGCGAUAAGUAAUGUGAAUUGCAGAAUUCAGUGAAUCAUCGAAUCUUUGAACGUACAUUGCGCCCGCCAGUAUUCUGGCGGGCAUGCCUGUUCGAGCGUCAUUUCAACCAUCAAGCCCCCGGCUUGUGUUGGGGACCUGCGGCUGCCGCAGGCCCUGAAAUGCAGUGGCGGGCUCGCUGUCACUCCGAGCGUAGUAGUUACAUCUCGCUCUGGGCGUGCUGCGGGUUCCGGCCGUUAAAAGCCUUAUUUACCCAAGGUUGACCUCGGAUCAGGUAGGAAGACCCGCUGAACUUAAGCAUAUCAAUAAGCGGAGGA